Paralichthys olivaceus (Japanese flounder) is the source of this 1452-nucleotide non-coding RNA. The record is from RefSeq and is a predicted model, not a curated record. Lineage: Eukaryota; Metazoa; Chordata; Actinopteri; Pleuronectiformes; Paralichthyidae.
UGUAGAAGCUGUUUUCCACUCUGGAGGUUUUGGGCGUGUCUGAGCUGAACCUGUCAGCCAAUCAGUGGAAAGACGAGAUGAUCCGUUUUGACUGGACGCCACAAACAGAUAAGGAGCCUCCACUGCUGAGGACGUUCGAGGACCCGUCCACAUGGGAGGUGACCUUGAGGCCAAUGGAGAUCCGAACCUUCCUGCUCAGGGUCCAGCUCAGAUAGCCAAUCGUUCACUUAGACUUUUUAAAGAUUUGUAAGAAAACAAAUAAGCAAAACUAUAAUUCAGUCAGUUGAAGUCUCCUGUGGCCUCCUGCUUGGGUUUGAUUGGACCAAGCGAGGACACUUGAUGAAGGAGGCAAAGGGAUUUUCCUUAAAGGCCCAUAAAUCUGAUCAGGGUCUGAAGUCUCCGGACCACGUGUCGAAGAUCAGGCUUGUUUGACUGAAGUCUGAACGUAUUUCUCAUUCGAGACGUGCACAGUAUUUGCUGAAGCUGCCUUCUGAUCAUUUCUCCUACAAACUGCUGCCAACACACACCGACUGCCUGACGUGUGCAACUUUUCUAUUUCUACCAACAUGUGUAUAUACGUCACUGAUUUUAUACUGACCCUGAUCACAGUGAAUAAAUCUUUCUCUACUGUUAUUGUCGUGUUCGUGUUCCACUAACACCGAGCGUAAACACAAACAGGCCGAGGUGGUUUGAACAUUGAACAGAUGUUUGUGAUUUAACUGCACACGCUCAGAGAUGAGAUUACAUUAAAUUUUACUGCAGCCGUUGAAAGUUCAAACACCUGCUGUUUACCGUCGUCUCAGCUUUCGUUUGGACGUGUGGAACUCUAACUUUAUCAGGCAGCAUUUACUUCUUUUCACUUACCUCAUCACAAAGCAGGUGAUGCACAUCUCAAGUGAGCGACCUCUCGUCUACUGUCAAAUAUUGAAAGCGAGAAUGUGGUUUGAUAUGAUUGAUAUGAUCUACGAGCGAGGGGCCGAUUAAAAAAACAUUUGCUGAUGUUGAAGCAAGUUGAGUUUAACUUUGGUGAACCUUCGCUUUGCUGUCGUGUGUGACGGGGCCACUACACUUCCCAUGGUGGCUGACAUUAAUGACGAAUAAGACAAACAAACAACACGUUAAGUCACAUUGAGGACUUUAUUGAUGUGAAAUACAUGUUGACAGCAGUCAAAUUAUUAAAAAACAAAAGAACGAUGUUUUGAUUCUAAGCUCGUAACUAAUUUGAACCAACUAGUUAGUCACUGCGUCACAACGGAAAGAAACUGGUCUGAUUUACACAUUUGUAAAAUUAACGAUAUCAGUAAUACACUUUUUAUGAAGCGUCACUGUUAUCGUCAAUAUCUGGAUAUUCUGUGCACGAACAGGUUUUAGUUUGUUGUCCUCACCAAAAUAAAGUCUGACUGCAGAGCCUCAUUCUCACUUUAUCAAGGCUGCAACUUUCAAAACUCAAGG